Molecule: ribosomal RNA, 322 nt
Filed under: uncultured eukaryote
Lineage: Eukaryota
Description: partial 18S ribosomal RNA
Rfam family: Eukaryotic small subunit ribosomal RNA
Source: RNAcentral
CCCUUAGAUGUUCUGGGCCGCACGCGUGCUACACUGAGUGGAUCAGCGGGUCAGGUUACGCGAAAGUGUUUCCUAAUCUUUAAAUCCGCUCGUGAUGGGGAUUGACGGUUGCAAUUUUCCGUCAUGAACGAGGAAUACCUUGUAAGCGCGGGUCAUCAUCCCGCGCUGAAUACGUCCCUGCCCUUUGUACACACCGCCCGUCGCUCCUACCGAUUGAGUGGUCCGGUGAGGCUUUGGGAUCUGAGCGGAAAGAGCGUUUCGCUGUUUCUGCCCGGAAAACUCAGUCGAACCUUAUCAUUUAGAGGAAGGAGAAGUCGUAACA